AGCGAACGCUGGCGGCAGGCUUAACACAUGCAAGUCGAGCGGGCAUCCUUGUGGUGUCAGCGGCAGACGGGUGAGUAACGCGUGGGAACGUGCCCUUCGGUUCGGAAUAACUCAGGGAAACUUGAGCUAAUACCGGAUACGUGCGAGAGCAGAAAGGUUUAUCUGCCGAAGGAUCGGCCCGCGUCUGAUUAGCUAGUUGGUGAGGUUACGGCUCACCAAGGCGAGGAUCAGUAGCUGGUCUGAGAGGAUGAUCAGCCACACUGGGACUGAGACACGGCCCAGACUCCUACGGGAGGCAGCAGUGGGGAAUAUUGGACAAUGGGGGCAACCCUGAUCCAGCCAUGCCGCGUGAGUGAUGACGGCCUUAGGGUUGUAAAGCUCUUUUCUCCGGGACGAUAAUGACGGUACCGGAGGAAUAAGCCCCGGCUAACUUCGUG
Molecule: ribosomal RNA, 437 nt
Filed under: uncultured bacterium
Lineage: Bacteria
Description: partial 16S ribosomal RNA
Rfam family: Bacterial small subunit ribosomal RNA
Source: RNAcentral